This 1105-nucleotide long non-coding RNA is filed under the name Bos indicus x Bos taurus (hybrid cattle). Its description in RNAcentral is "lncRNA (ENSBIXG00005031062.1)". The record is from RNAcentral. Lineage: Eukaryota; Metazoa; Chordata; Mammalia; Artiodactyla; Bovidae.
ACUGGGAAGAAUUGAAGGCAGGAGGAGAAGGGGAUGACAGAGGAUGAGAUGGUUGGAUGGCAUCACCGACUCAAUGGACAUGAGUUUGAGCAAACUCCAGGAGAUUGUGAAGGACAGGGAAGCCUGGCGGGCUGCAGUCCACAGGGUUGCAGAGUCGGACACGACUGAGCGACUGAAUGACAACAGCAGCAACAUUUAACUUCCAGUUGCCCGAUGUCACGAGCACCAUUUCAAGUGCCUAAAGUCUCCACGUGAUCCAUGGCAAACCAUGUUGGAUGGCACAGAUGUAGAACCACCCCUUUGUUGCAGAAAGUCCUACCGGGCCAGACUGACCUAGAGGACAUGAUCUCUGUUCCUAGCUUGGCUUGGGAAAGCAUUUAGACCCCCCCCCCCCCAAAAAAAAAGAAAAAGAAAUAAAGAAAACCCAGCUCUUCUUUACAAACAGGCCGUCCCUCGCAAUGUGGGAAUGUCAGGGCCUCUCGGUGAAGUGAGCAAGAGAGAAGAGAAACAAGAUGCAGCUGAGGUGGGGACGCUGUGUUUUCUCCGAUAUUACUAAGCAACCGUGUCCUAAAAUCUCCGGAGCCAGCGACAGAACUUUGUUUACCAGGAAGAAAGCACUUGAAAAGGAGAAUAUUUGGCGGAAAUGCGCUUUGGGAUUAGCAGCCACAAGGAGGGGAGAGGAAUGGAAUCUCAAACUCGUUUCCAGCUCCGUCAAGUCCCCAGUCCAUUUCCUGCCAUCGCUAGGACUUCUCACUUUCUUUACGCCCCACCCUAACCUCUGCUUGUCGUUCAGUUGCUUAGUCAGCCCCAUGGACUGCGGCACAACAGGCUUCCCCGUCCUUCACUAUCUCCCGGAGUUUGGUCAGACUCAAGUCCGUUGGGUCGGUGAUGCCAUUCAACCAUCUCAUGCUCUGUCGGCCCCUUCUCCUCCUGCCCUCUGCAUGAAGGGCUAAAGUGAAUGGUGCAGAAAGUCCAGCAUGGGAGGGGACCAAGUGAUGCAGAAGAGGGGUCGCCCGUCCGCAGUGGAUAAACAGGCCCCUGAAUUGUGACCCCUAGCUGAAUGCUUCUGAAUAAAAGUUUCAGGACCACUUGAUCGGCUAAUGUG